UACGAAGGGAGCUAGCGUUGUUCGGAAUCACUGGGCGUAAAGCGCACGUAGGCGGAUGUGUCAGUCAGGGGUGAAAUCCCGGAGCUCAACUUCGGAACUGCCUCUGAUACAGCACGUCUUGAGUCCGGAAGAGGUGGGUGGAAUUCCUAGUGUAGAGGUGAAAUUCGUAGAUAUUAGGAAGAACACCGGUGGCGAAGGCGGCCCACUGGUCCGGUACUGACGCUGAGGCGCGAAAGCCAGGGGAGCAAACGGG
Molecule: ribosomal RNA, 253 nt
Filed under: uncultured bacterium
Lineage: Bacteria
Description: partial 16S ribosomal RNA
Rfam family: Bacterial small subunit ribosomal RNA
Source: RNAcentral